GAUCAUGGCUCAGGAUGAACGCUAGCUACAGGCUUAGCACAUGCAAGUCGAGGGGCAGCAUGGUCUUAGCUUGCUAAGGCUGAUGGCGACCGGCGCACGGGUGAGUAACACGUAUCCAACCUGCCGUCUACUCUUGGCCAGCCUUCUGAAAGGAAGAUUAAUCCAGGAUGGGAUCAUGAGUUCACAUGUCCGCAUGAUUAAGGGUAUUUUCCGGUAGACGAUGGGG
Molecule: ribosomal RNA, 226 nt
Filed under: uncultured bacterium
Lineage: Bacteria
Description: partial 16S ribosomal RNA
Rfam family: Bacterial small subunit ribosomal RNA
Source: RNAcentral